UCCUACGGGAGGCAGCAGUGAGGAAUAUUGGUCAAUGGGCGGGAGCCUGAACCAGCCAAGCCGCGUGAGGGAAGAAGGUACAGCGUAUCGUAAACCUCUUUUGUCAGGGAACAAAGGCGGGGACUAGUCCCCGGAUGAGGGUACCUGAAGAAAAAGCAUCGGCUAACUCCGUGCCAGCAGCCGCGGUAAUACGGAGGAUGCGAGCGUUAUCCGGAUUUAUUGGGUUUAAAGGGUGCGCAGGCGGCCUGUUAAGUCAGCGGUAAAAGCCCGGGGCUCAACCCCUGCGAGCCGGUGGA
Molecule: ribosomal RNA, 296 nt
Filed under: uncultured bacterium
Lineage: Bacteria
Description: partial 16S ribosomal RNA
Rfam family: Bacterial small subunit ribosomal RNA
Source: RNAcentral